AUGAAAAAUAUACUUCUCUUUUGGUUGCUCCUCAUAGCAACCAUUAAUUGUGUUGGCUUCUGCUAUGCAGCUUGCAUUCUGAGCAAGAAGGAAGCCCUUUCGAAGUUCAAGCAUCAUCUUUCCAAUCCUUCAAACCCGCUCUUAUAUUCGGGUGGAGACUGCUGCGGAAUGGAGUCAUCUGCGACUACUAAACCACCCUGUUUGAUAAUAAAUUUGACUUUCGAUAAAAAAGCUGUGCAAAAACUCGCACUUUGAAGAAUAUGUUGUACUAUACGGAUCCAAACGCUGAAUAAUUACUCUUUUAUGAAGUUGCGUCUGUCUCGUUUAUUAUGGAUCAAUGGUUCAUCAACUGGAGCUCUCUAGAGUUAUUGUUAGUGAAGGUUGUUCAGUUUAUCCAAGAAACAGAAAAU
RNAcentral lists this unclassified non-coding RNA (410 nucleotides) under Hevea brasiliensis (rubber tree). The record is from RNAcentral. Lineage: Eukaryota; Viridiplantae; Streptophyta; Magnoliopsida; Malpighiales; Euphorbiaceae.